This 31-nucleotide transfer RNA is filed under the name Rhinolophus macrotis (Big-eared Horseshoe Bat). RNAcentral's name for it is "partial tRNA-Val". The record is from RNAcentral. Lineage: Eukaryota; Metazoa; Chordata; Mammalia; Chiroptera; Rhinolophidae.
AGGAGACUUCACACACAAUGAACACUUUGAA